Molecule: ribosomal RNA, 486 nt
Filed under: uncultured bacterium
Lineage: Bacteria
Description: partial 16S ribosomal RNA
Rfam family: Bacterial small subunit ribosomal RNA
Source: RNAcentral
GAUGAACGCUAGCGGCAGGCUUAACACAUGCAAGUCGAGGGGCAGCGCGGGAUAGCAAUAUCCUGGCGGCGACCGGCGGAAGGGUGCGUAACGCGUGAGCGACAUGCCCGUUGCCCGGGGACAACCGGUGGAAACGCCGACUAAUCCCCGAUGGGAUAUUGUGCCGCAUGGCACGAUAUUGAAAGUUACGGCGGCGACGGAUUGGCUCGCGUCCGAUUAGCUUGUUGGCGGGGUAACGGCCCACCAAGGCUGCGAUCGGUAGGGGUUCUGAGAGGAAGGCCCCCCACAAUGGGACUGAGACACGGCCCAUACUCCUACGGGAGGCAGUAGUGAGGAAUAUUGGUCAAUGGGCGGAAGCCUGAACCAGCCAUGCCGCGUGCGGGAAGGAGGCCCUAUGGGCUGUGAACCGCUUUUGCCUGGGGGCAAUAAGGGCGUCGCGCACGUCCGAUGAGAGUACCAGGCGAAUAAGCAUCGGCUAACUCCGUG